AUAAAUUUAAGCUCAAUUAUAUUAAUUAAUAAUCUCAAAAACUUACAAAUUUGACUCGAAAGAUCUGGAGUAAAUUAUUUGAUGCCAAGUUGAAUACAUAACAAGGAUCUCUGUUGACUAAAUAAUCAUAAAAGCUCUUUGGCCAGCCUCCAAUCACUAAGAAUUCCAAUAUUAGGACAUUACAAAGGAACAAAACCUUCAGACUAGGCAAAACUCAAUAGUUAGCCACUAUCUUAUCAGGGUAAUCAUCAGAGCUUGCUAAGACGAAACUAAUAUAGCUUCUUCCUUCCUCAGCUUUCUUCUGUUCAGCCAGCCCAGCGUACAUCUGUUGUCUGAAUUGCUUACGAGCCUCUCGUUCUGAUAGUUUUAAAUCUUUGAAACCCUGCUCAAACUUGGCUUCAUCUUCAGGUGAAAAGAAGGCAACCUCCAUCUUCCCAAGCUCUUCAUACAUUUUUUCAAUCUUGGCUUUCCAGAAGAGGCCCAUUUCUGUGUCCAUUUUCUGGUAAGGAGUUCUCAGUAGGUACUCGUCGAUCCCUCCUGCCUUGUCUAUGCAACGAAGGGCAUGAGUGGUGACUUUGACUCUAACGUGUCGGUCUAAGAUAUAACUAAAGAGUCUCUUCUCUUGGACAUUUGGUUUCCAAGUCCUCCUACUCCUAUCAUCACCAUUUACCAACACACAAUGCACUUCAGCCUGUUAGACUCCUUUUUUUUUUAUUUUUUAGUUUUUUAUAACAAACUUAUAGCAGACACCCGAAAACUGAAACAUGAAAACACAACAAGCAAUAAAUCUUUUCAUGUAACUCAGGCUAGCAACAGCGAAAGUAAAUACCAAACAGCAUUCAACAUUAUCUACAACUGCUAUGUGUAGAAAUAACACUUUGUACCAGUUCACCCAGCCACAACAACAGAAAAUCAUGACAAUGACAUGUAUAUUCUAAACCUGCUAGCCAUAUACUUAGCUUUCCAUGGACCAUAAUACAUGCUAUCUUUAUAAUAUGGCAAUCAAAAAUAGUACAGCAUUACUCACAAGCAAGUCACCUCUGCUCAAGCUCAAAUCAUUGAGGCUGUGGAACAAAAAUUUGAAAUUUGAUCUAUAAUUCAUCUAAACCCAAAUAUCAAACAAGAAACUCUGAAAACAACCAUAUGCAAGGGAAUUAGCACCUCAAAAGAUAGUGAUAAGUCAUCUCAUCAAGCACCUUGGUUGGACAAGGACCAAUUAGACGAUUGAAUAAGUUUUUUUGAGUCACUCUAAGCAUAUAAACAUUUUCAACACCACCACCUUUUCUGGUAAUAACCCUGUCGUAGAGUUCAUUCAUUACAUGAUCUGUCUGCUCAUGCAUGCAGCAGUUUUGCUUCUAACCCUAGUUAAGCAAAUUAAGUUAGGAGUUACAGUCCAAUAAGGCAUCAUUGCAUCAAUUGCCAAAGUGUUUCUUUAUGUGUCAUUUACACAUAUUCGAAAGUUUUCUUCAAUACAUACUCUCCAUUGUAUUAUCCAACUAUACUGAACCAAAGAUCAAUGUGCACCUUCCAAAGAAACUUUUAGCCUUUCUUGUUAUAACUCCAAAUUUCUAUCCAUCAGCAGCAAUAUCAAAUGAUUCUUCAUGCAAAGGGAAGAUAAUAAAUAAGCAUACACAAACUAACAUACUAGGCAAUCAACACCAUUUCAGAGUCAAUAAUAUUAACACCAACACUAUCAUCCACACAAUUAAUCAUGUGCGGCGCCCUCAAUUCAUCCACAGGUCAUUGACCAGUCAUCACAAGAUCAGAUAUUCUCCAAACCCGAAAAAUUGGAACUCUCGAUUUCCCUAAAAAUGAAAUUUCUAAGCAAUACAAAGCAUGGACAGAAAGAGAGAACGAACUUGUUACCACCAUCUUCACUGAUGCGAUUGCCGAACUGGAUGUGGCGACCGGCGAAAAGGCCACGCUUCGCUCGGCCCAUAACGACCUUGCUAUCAGGUAUGGAUUUCUUGAGAGAUUCCUCGACUCCAGGUGUCAAAGUUUUUUCUCCUACCUUUUUCAU
RNAcentral lists this unclassified non-coding RNA (2020 nucleotides) under Hevea brasiliensis (rubber tree). Lineage: Eukaryota; Viridiplantae; Streptophyta; Magnoliopsida; Malpighiales; Euphorbiaceae. The record is from RNAcentral.